This 914-nucleotide ribosomal RNA is filed under the name Metabacillus idriensis. Its description in RNAcentral is "bacterial SSU rRNA". It matches the Rfam family "Bacterial small subunit ribosomal RNA", at positions 61 to 957 of the family's 1533-position model. Lineage: Bacteria; Bacillati; Bacillota; Bacilli; Caryophanales; Bacillaceae. The record is from RNAcentral.
GUCGAGCGGACUUGCUGGAGCUUGCUCCAACAGGUUAGCGGCGGACGGGUGAGUAACACGUGGGCAACCUGCCUGUAAGACUGGGAUAACUCCGGGAAACCGGAGCUAAUACCGGAUAGUAUCUUGAACCGCAUGGUUCAAGUUGGAAAGACGGUUUCGGCUGUCACUUACAGAUGGGCCCGCGGCGCAUUAGCUAGUUGGUGAGGUAAUGGCUCACCAAGGCAACGAUGCGUAGCCGACCUGAGAGGGUGAUCGGCCACACUGGGACUGAGACACGGCCCAGACUCCUACGGGAGGCAGCAGUAGGGAAUCUUCCGCAAUGGACGAAAGUCUGACGGAGCAACGCCGCGUGAGUGAUGAAGGUUUUCGGAUCGUAAAACUCUGUUGUUAGGGAAGAACAAGUGCGAGAGUAACUGCUCGCACCUUGACGGUACCUAACCAGAAAGCCACGGCUAACUACGUGCCAGCAGCCGCGGUAAUACGUAGGUGGCAAGCGUUGUCCGGAAUUAUUGGGCGUAAAGCGCGCGCAGGCGGUUUCUUAAGUCUGAUGUGAAAGCCCCCGGCUCAACCGGGGAGGGUCAUUGGAAACUGGGAAACUUGAGUGCAGAAGAGGAGAGUGGAAUUCCACGUGUAGCGGUGAAAUGCGUAGAGAUGUGGAGGAACACCAGUGGCGAAGGCGACUCUCUGGUCUGUAACUGACGCUGAGGCGCGAAAGCGUGGGGAGCAAACAGGAUUAGAUACCCUGGUAGUCCACGCCGUAAACGAUGAGUGCUAAGUGUUAGAGGGUUUCCGCCCUUUAGUGCUGCAGCUAACGCAUUAAGCACUCCGCCUGGGGAGUACGGUCGCAAGACUGAAACUCAAAGGAAUUGACGGGGGCCCGCACAAGCGGAGGAGCAUGUGGUUUAAUUCGAAGC